RNAcentral lists this ribosomal RNA (331 nucleotides) under uncultured bacterium. RNAcentral describes it as "bacterial SSU rRNA". It matches the Rfam family "Bacterial small subunit ribosomal RNA", at positions 8 to 334 of the family's 1533-position model. The record is from RNAcentral.
AGAGUUUGAUUAUGGCUCAGGACGAACGCUGGCGGCGCGCCUAACACAUGCAAGUCGAACGAGUGAGAGAGAGCUUGCUUUCUCGAGCGAGUGGCGAACGGGUGAGUAACGCGUGAGGAACCUGCCUCAAAGAGGGGGACAACAGUUGGAAACGACUGCUAAUACCGCAUAAGCCCACGGCUCGGCAUCGAGCAGAGGGAAAAGGAGUGAUCCGCUUUGAGAUGGCCUCGCGUCCGAUUAGCUAGUUGGUGAGGUAAUGGCCCACCAAGGCGACGAUCGGUAGCCGGACUGAGAGGUUGAACGGCCACAUUGGGACUGAGACACGGCCCAG